UAAUGUGAGAGACUUAGAAAAAGA
This 24-nucleotide non-coding RNA is filed under the name Cricetulus griseus (Chinese hamster). The record is from RNAcentral. Lineage: Eukaryota; Metazoa; Chordata; Mammalia; Rodentia; Cricetidae.